This 56-nucleotide transfer RNA is filed under the name Diaphanoeca grandis. The record is from RNAcentral. Lineage: Eukaryota; Choanoflagellata; Acanthoecida; Stephanoecidae.
UUAAGCGCAAACAAACACAACAAAAAAAAGCACAACUCACCCAAACAACAAAACAC